This is a long non-coding RNA of Anolis carolinensis (green anole), 815 nucleotides long. RefSeq lists it as uncharacterized. The record is from RefSeq and is a predicted model, not a curated record. The transcript is spliced from 2 exons. Lineage: Eukaryota; Metazoa; Chordata; Lepidosauria; Squamata; Anolidae.
ACACAGCAAACCAUUGGCACCUGUAAUUUGACAACUAUUCAGGCCAUUGUAAAAAUGCAGCAUAAAACCGCUUUGACUAUCUUGACUCAUGGGAGCUAUAAUUUUACGUGGUCUUUCUAUAGUUUUUUUGGCACAAUCCGUGCUGCCGCCUAACUAAACCGCCUGAAUUCCAACGCAGUGGUGUCAAACUUCAUCCAUUCUGCAGUGUAGAUGCACCCACUGUUUAAAGCGGUGCUGUCGCUUUAAGAGGAGACUAUGACAUCACCCGAGUACGAACUCCCAAGGAGGACCCUGGUUGGGCCGCAAGCCCCGCCCCGUGAUCGCCAGGCUCAGCAACGCGUGACAUCAUAAGGACUAGAGAAGCUGCCAUUGGCGGAAAGGACUAAGCUAGCCACGCCUUCCGAGUCAGGCCUGGACCAAUCAGAAGAGAAGUGUUUGUCUCCAUGUGGAAACCAUGUGGUUCUCCGAAGGGGGCGGAGCCUAAGUUGAUUAUACUGUAGCUGGCUGCCUCCAGCAGGAUCUGCACGUUCUGGAGGAAAGUGUUGAUCCGCUCCAUGGAGUCCUUCUCCUCCUCCUCGGUGCUGGUGUGGUUGAAGAUGUCACUCAAGGGCCACCUGGGCAGCGCCUCCGACUCCGAAGCCAGACCCGGAGCCUGGGGCAAAGGAGGAGGAGGAGGAGGGUGCCCCGCAACAACAACAACAGCAGCAGCAGCCGCAGCAGCCCCUUCGCCCCGCAGCUCCUUCCUCGGCCUGCCACGUUUCCCCAUCGCCCCUGCGGUUGGAAACUUUGGGGUUUCUUAAAGCCCUUUUGGCCGA